AAUGAACGCUGGCGGCAGGCCUAACACAUGCAAGUCGAACGGAUCCUUCGGGAUUAGUGGCGGACGGGUGAGUAACGCGUGGGAACAUACCCUUUGGUACGGAAUAGCCUCGGGAAACUGGGAGUAAUACCGUAUGUGGUCGAGAGACGAAAGAUUUAUCGCCAAAGGAUUGGCCCGCGUUGGAUUAGGUAGUUGGUGGGGUAAUGGCCUACCAAGCCGACGAUCCAUAGCUGGUUUGAGAGGAUGAUCAGCCACACUGGGACUGAGACACGGCCCAGACUCCUACGAGAGGCGGCAGUGGGGAAUCUUAGACGAUGGGGGAAACCCUGAUCUAGCCAUGCCGCGUGAUCGAUGAAGGCCUUAGGGUUGUAAAGAUCUUUCAGGUGGGAAGAUAAUGACUGUACCACCAGAAGAAGCCCCGGCUAACUCCGUGCCAGCCGCCGCAGUAA
This 449-nucleotide ribosomal RNA is filed under the name uncultured bacterium. Its description in RNAcentral is "partial 16S ribosomal RNA". It matches the Rfam family "Bacterial small subunit ribosomal RNA", at positions 29 to 523 of the family's 1533-position model. The record is from RNAcentral.